Aegilops tauschii subsp. strangulata is the source of this 1462-nucleotide long non-coding RNA. RefSeq lists it as uncharacterized. The record is from RefSeq and is a predicted model, not a curated record. Lineage: Eukaryota; Viridiplantae; Streptophyta; Magnoliopsida; Poales; Poaceae.
AUGCUCCUGUUGUCAAGUCUGCUUGAUUUUUUCUUCUAAUUUUAGCUAGCUCUGCCUGGUGAAAGCAUUCUUCCAUGCCAAGUAGCCAGUCAGCUUGCCAACAUGAUACAGAGUAGCGUUUAGUGACCUUUCCUCUCAUGUAAACAUGCAUUUGUUUCAGGCACUAAGAAAAAACACAUGUGUUCUAAAAUGCUUUCCAUUGCAGGUUGUUCUUGAAGGAUUAGUUUUGUAUAUCUUCUAUUAUUUAAUAAACAUUAAAUGCUCGGUUCAUUUCAACCUGAACUGUAUUGUUGGAGACAUGCUCUAUAGUAAGUCGCUGAUUUCCAAGUAUUCAGGCAAAAAAAGGCGUGUUUAGUCAGAUUUAGCUUUUGAACUUCCCUCGAGAUAUGUCCCAACCAUCAUAUUUUAAAUAGCUUCUGUUUUCUAAAUACGAGACACUGGACAUGACAGUAUGUAACAAUGUGUCGAUGUUACUUUUCAUUUACAUUCACAUGCUGUUGUAGUGUUCCAGGCUUGCAAAUGAUAAAACAUUUCAAGUAAGUAUGCAGUACCACUCACUCGUUCCUAAUAAAUAUGCAAGCUUUUUUAUCCUCUGUUUUUCUUUACCCAGUGAAACUCUUUGAACAGGGCUCUCUUGGUUAAGUCUGAUUCUUUUAGUUCAUAAAUAUGUACAGGGAUGAGGCGGCAAUAGUUGCAUUCUCUGUAUAUGAACAUGAAGACCUAGAAGGUCGUCUCCUGGAAAGGGAUGCUUCAUUUACAAGAGCGGCUCUCCCCAACAACACUGUUGUGAUGUACUGAAGCCUCCCGUUCCACAUGCUGGGUACUUACACCUCAACGUCACUUCUAUGAGUUGUGGCCUAGAUCAGCAUGUGUAUGUGCCACAGCUUGUGGGAGGGACAAAAUGGGAGGUCGCCUUGAAAUUGUGGAAGUGCAAGGGAGGCCGGAAGAGUGCAUUGCUACACUGCUGCCCUGUUUCUCCUUAUUGCUGCCGACUCACCUUCGUGUAGCGCUAUUUCCAUAGGGAACCAGCAAUAACCACAUUAUGAAAGGGUCAAGGAGCACUGAUCCGAUGUGCAUCGAUGACAAUGAAGCCGGCAAAGCGACGAGUUCACCUGGCCCUCAGCAGCGGCAGCGACGAGCUCGCCUAGCGCUCCUACCGCGUCGCUGGUGCGACCUCCUUGCUAGAUCCCGGCCAUGCAGCCUCGGCGCAGUGACUGAGUUGCUCCUAAAUGCGCGGAGCAGUGCCGCUUGGCCGGCGAAGUGGCCGGUAGCAGGAAGUCCGCCGUUGUAAAUAGUUGUACAAAAUGGUCAUGUGUUCCUAUCUCUCUGUCGUAAAAAAUGGUCAUGUGUUCUAUCUCUCAUCGUAUGAAAGCACCAAGCUUGAUUCUGUCUUAUAAUGUGAUUGUCAUCUUCAGAUCCAUUAUGUUAUGCUUCUAACACAAAUAGUUGCCUGCACAUGCUA